AUUGAACGCUGGCGGCAGGCCUAACACAUGCAAGUCGAGCGGGAGUAGCAAUACUCUAGCGGCGAACGGGUGAGGAAUGCUUGGGAAUCUGCCUAGUAGUGGGGGAUAACGUUCGGAAACGGACGCUAAUACCGCAUACGUCCUACGGGAGAAAGGGGGGAGUCUUCGGACCUCUCGCUAUUAGAUGAGCCCAAGCGGGAUUAGCUAGUUGGUGAGGUAAUGGCUCACCAAGGCAACGAUCCCUAGCUGGUCUGAGAGGAUGAUCAGCCACACUGGAACUGAGACACGGUCCAGACUCCUACGGGAGGCAGCAGUGGGGAAUAUUGGACAAUGGGCGAAAGCCUGAUCCAGCCAUGCCGCGUGUGUGAAGAAGGCCUUAGGGUUGUAAAGCACUUUAAGCGAGGAGGAAGGUUCGUCACCUAAUACGUGGCGGAAUUGACGUUACUCGCAGAAUAAGCACCGGCUAACUCUGUGCCAGCAGCCG
Molecule: ribosomal RNA, 484 nt
Filed under: uncultured bacterium
Lineage: Bacteria
Description: bacterial SSU rRNA
Rfam family: Bacterial small subunit ribosomal RNA
Source: RNAcentral